RNAcentral lists this transfer RNA (81 nucleotides) under Haemonchus contortus (barber pole worm). RNAcentral's name for it is "tRNA, Pseudo". Lineage: Eukaryota; Metazoa; Nematoda; Chromadorea; Rhabditida; Trichostrongylidae. The record is from RNAcentral.
UUCCCAACCCAGGGAUUGAACCUGCGUCUCUUGUGUCUCCUGCAUUGACAGGUGGAUUCUUUACCACUGAGCCACCUGGGA